RNAcentral lists this long non-coding RNA (1980 nucleotides) under Anas platyrhynchos platyrhynchos (common mallard). Its description in RNAcentral is "lncRNA (ENSAPLG00000021576.1)". The record is from RNAcentral. Lineage: Eukaryota; Metazoa; Chordata; Aves; Anseriformes; Anatidae.
GGGUUGUCUACAAAGGACUUAUACUUCCGGAUUGCAAAUCCCAAAGAAAUGUCAUCAAAUAUAUUUGUUGAUAUUAGAGCAAUCUAAAAAUUACAACUGAGCUCAGAUUAAGUAAAUAUAUACGCAUAAGCUUUUAUUGGAGUAAGUAGUGCUGUACAUGCAUAAAACACUUCCGAGGAUUGUGAUUUUUCCUAAAUGGCAUGAGUUGGAAGUUGUUUUUCAUUCAACAGCUACAGCUGUGACUCCAGCUGUCCCUCCUAGAUGUUAAGUUAUUUGUCUCAGGAAGCCUCUUAUCCAAAGGACUGACCUUUCAAAAGGUUUUGCAGUCACCUCUAUUUUGUGCUUCCUUAUGUAUGUGCUGAUGAGCUGGGGAUGGUGGCCAGGUGAUAAAUUGCUAGCAGGUGAUAAAUUGCUAGACAACCUGCUCAUUAGUUAAACGUCUGGUAAGGAAGAUCUUGGUGUGGGCUGUGAGUACUUACCCCUGCAGGAUAUAAUUUAAAAGAGUUCUGUUUAAACAAAAACAAAACCAACUACAAACAAAGCCACAACAAAAACAAAAGACAGUCUAAGCCCUCAACCUGCUUGCAUAAUAUCUGAGUAAUGAAGAAGAGAUCACCGAGGGUUUCUCUCUCUAAGACAAGCGAAAUUCCAAACGUAAGGAUUAUGCCCCAGGAUUUUGGAGAGAAGAGGCAAGGAGAUGGUUUUAUGAAAUCCUCCAGCAGUAUUUCACAUCCAUCAUUCCUAAAUGAUGGUGGAGAAUCUGUUGGUGGUCUGGGAUACCAUGGCCAUGCUGAUUCCUAUGAUUUAGCCCUGAAGGAAAGCCAGUGGUGUGCUGCAGAUCCCCUCCCACUCCCCAGGCUGUGCCAUGGUGCCCCAGCCUUUCCUAGCCCUGGGAUGUGCUGGGCAAAAUGCAUCCUUUGCUGCAUGGCAGGUUGCGUGGCCUCUGGCUGUGCUUCUGAGCGAUGGUUCACAAGGAGGGGUGAAGACUGGGGGGAAACAAGGCACAUGUAGAGCUAUUAUGCACCUAUAUCCAGUAACUGGUCUGAAUUUUUCACACUGGUGUGUUGUUAGGAACUGGGGUGACUAAAAUGAAUAAUAUCUUUAGUGGUCAUUAAAGUACAGCAGAAAUCUCCUAAGGGACAGAUGAAGAUCAUCUGGCCUCUGCUGCCUAAUAACCCUUUUCCUGGAGAGUGUCAAACUGAAUUUGUAGUUGUGUCUCUUUGUUUAGACAUUAGCUUUCAAUUUAUUACUUAAGGGACUCAGCCCCAAAUUGGAGAUAGGUCACUAUUUGCCCUUUUUUAAUGGUAAACUGUGCUGUGCACACAAACAUGUCAGAAACAGCUGAGGGUAAGUUGCUUUCUAGUCCUCCAGCAGCCCAUCAUUUUAUGUUGGUGUCAUUUGAUUAACAUGAGGCAUCACUGAUCACAGCAAUUAUACAAAAAUGCCACUAUUUCUUAAAAACUCAGCAGGUUGUUACUGCUGUGCUAUGGAUGUGUAUGUAGGAUGGAGAAAUCCCAGCUCUGGAGCCAUGUCUCCCAGUGCUUGGAGCAGAAGGGAUCUGGCCUCCUAGACAGACAGGCUUCCUUCACAAAAGUCUGGACAGGGUUCCUUAGGGAAUCAAGUCAAAAUCCAGCUCAGGGUUAGGCACAGGUGAAAAAAACGUGCUCUGGAGAGACAGCAAUGUUAUUUGCGAGUCCUAGUAGGCUUUCUAAGUACUUGGGAUAUCAACAGACAAUAUUAUAAACCUAUCCAGUAGUUUCUUCCCUUUACAGGAUCUGCAUUUCAUUAAUUUUUGUUAAAUGUAUAAUAUUCUAAACAUCUAAUUGAUGAUAUUCUUGGUUUAUGAUCUAUGUAGAUUAGCAUCCUCCAGUUAGUUCUUUGCAUUUUUCUCCAUCACUUGGUGAAAUGGAGCUGCACAUACGUGUUAGGAGAAAGCCAUGUAGGAAUAAAAGCAUCCAAGCAUCUAAAUGUGCUGCUGUU